Molecule: small RNA, 76 nt
Filed under: Xanthomonas dyei pv. eucalypti
Lineage: Bacteria; Pseudomonadati; Pseudomonadota; Gammaproteobacteria; Lysobacterales; Lysobacteraceae
Also listed under: 1 other name
Description: sX9 sRNA
Rfam family: Xanthomonas sRNA sX9
Source: RNAcentral
AGCUCACCCUCGUACACUCCGGUUUUUCCGCGUCGUCCAUUCCCACCUGACGAUUGCUUGCGACGCUUUGUUCGCC